Molecule: ribosomal RNA, 440 nt
Filed under: uncultured bacterium
Lineage: Bacteria
Description: partial 16S ribosomal RNA
Rfam family: Bacterial small subunit ribosomal RNA
Source: RNAcentral
CCUACGGGUGGCAGCAGUGGGGAAUAUUGCACAAUGGGGGCAACCCUGAUGCAGCAACGCCGCGUGAGUGAAGAAGUAUUUCGGUAUGUAAAGCACUAUCAGCAGGGAAGAAGGUGAUAGUGCCUGAGUAAGAGGCCACGGCUAACUACGUGCCAGCAGCCGCGGUAAUACGUAGGGGGCAAGCUUUAUCCGGAUUUACUGGGUGUAAAGGGAACGUAGACGGUGAGUCAAGUCUGACGUGAAAGCCCCGGGCUCAACCCCGGGACUGCUUUGGAUACUGGCUGACUGGAGUGCUGUAGAGGCAAGCAGAAUUCCUAGUGUAGCGGUGAAAUGCGUAGAUAUUAGGAAGAACACCAGUGGCGAAGGCGGCUUGCUGGACAGUAACUGACGUUGAGGUUCGAAAGCGUGGGGAGCAAACAGGAUUAGAUACCCCGGUAGUC